RNAcentral lists this ribosomal RNA (478 nucleotides) under uncultured bacterium. Its description in RNAcentral is "partial 16S ribosomal RNA". It matches the Rfam family "Bacterial small subunit ribosomal RNA", at positions 28 to 507 of the family's 1533-position model. The record is from RNAcentral.
GACGAACGCUGGUGGCGUGCUUAACACAUGCAAGUCGAACGGGAUUUAGUAAACAGAAGCCUCGGUGGAAGAUUACUAAUGAGAGUGGCGAACGGGUGAGUAACGCGUGAGCAACCUGCCUAUGACAGUGGGAUAGCCUCGGGAAACCGGGAUUAAUACCGCAUAAAAUCGUAGAAACACAUGUUUUAACGGUCAAAGAUUUAUCGGUCAUAGAUGGGCUCGCGUCUGAUUAGCUAGUUGGUGAGAUAACAGCCCACCAAGGCGACGAUCAGUAGCCGGUCUGAGAGGAUGAACGGCCACAUUGGAACUGAGACACGGUCCAAACUCCUACGGGAGGCAGCAGUGGGGAAUAUUGCACAAUGGGGGAAACCCUGAUGCAGCGACGCCGCGUGAACGAAGAAGGUAUUCGUAUCGUAAAGUUCUGUCCUAUGGGAAGAUAAUGACAGUACCAGAGAAGAAAGCUCCGGCUAAAUACGUG